Molecule: non-coding RNA, 73 nt
Organism: Trichonephila inaurata madagascariensis
Lineage: Eukaryota; Metazoa; Arthropoda; Arachnida; Araneae; Nephilidae
Source: the annotation of a GenBank genome assembly
GGGGGCGUAGAUCAGAUGGCAGAGCGCUCGCUUAGCAUGCGAGAGGUACGAUGAUCGAUACCCCGCGCCUCCU